Molecule: non-coding RNA, 5538 nt
Organism: Equus caballus (horse)
Lineage: Eukaryota; Metazoa; Chordata; Mammalia; Perissodactyla; Equidae
Source: RefSeq, a predicted model, not a curated record
AGAUGCCUGUCCAGGUGCAAAGUGGGGGAUCUGAAGCCUUUCUCCCUACUCCUGGAGCUGCAUCCCACAUGCUCUCCAGCACUCAGUCCUCAUCCUUCCUGCUUUCGGCACCCCAAACAGUCCAGCAAGCAAGAUUCGCCCCCUGCCCAGUGUGCCCAUCCCCAUGCUGGUCACACUACAGGAAAGGAGGAGACCCAGACGCUGCCUGCAAGGAAGUUGCAACUUGGUUGGUAAAACAGCUCUUUCUGGUGAAGAAUUUGCGGCCAUCCUCCCUCUUUGGGUGCCUAUAGUCUUUCAUUUGUUUAAUAACAAUAAGCACAAAAUUCAAGAGAAUGGUUUCCUCUUGGAGGGUGGGUGGGAAGAUGGGGGAGAGAAUGAGGAGUAAGCAGACAUGUUGUUAUUGUAACAUUGUCUCUUAAAUUGGGUGGUCAGUUAACGGGUGUUCAUUAUAUAUAAAUAAAUUAUAAACAACUGAAGAGGGCCAUGUACGGGUUAACAACGGUUCUAGGACAUAGACCAAAGAUUGAGAUUACUCCAGUCCUGAGCUCCACAAGAAACUAUCACAAAGAGAGCAAUCCUUUUUCUUGAGCACUUACUACAGGCAGGUACUAUGCUAACUGCUUUAUGUGCAAUGAGAUGGGGGAACGAGGAGUAACUGGCCCUUGGCCUGGAGUGGGGUCUGCUCCAGGGGGCUUGAGGUCUGAACUGGCCUCGAAGGAUGAUCAGGAGUCCUGGGCUGGCAAAGGUGAGAUCUGGGGUACAGGGUGGGGUUAAGGGGCGUCUGGGAGACCCCUGUGGCCUGCGUUAUUCUUUUGCCAGCUGUCUUAGAUCCCACGUUGAGGAGUCUUCCCAUCUUCUGUGGUUUGGAGACCAAAGCAGGCCCACCCUGGCAGCAGGAGGCAGGACCCUUUUGCUCUGUGGAGGCCUCCUAGCUGCCCCCACCACCCCCGACUCCAGAGAGAGAGGCAGGGAGGUUGGGGUUCUCCCCAGUUUAGAGGCAGAAAAAGUGAGGCUUCGCCUUUGGUUAGAACUGAAAAGACCAGCUAAUGUCACCCAGAUGGCUGGGGAUGGAAGCCGGGGGUCCCAGUUUUCUCCUGUUCCACACCUGCCAAGAGUGGUGCCCCUGGCUCCUGGGCCAAUACUGUCACAGCCUGGCAUGCGGGGGAGGGUCUCGGUAGAUGGUUCCCGUCUGCUGAGCGCCUCCCCUUCUUCUCAGUCCCCAAGGUUGCAGCAGCAGUGGGGGGACCAGCGCUGCCCCGGUGCCCACAGGGGCCUUCCAUGCCCCAGAUCAGGGCUGGGGGAGGCCAGCAGGGCACUCAGGGAGCACACUCCACAGAGGCACUGGCUCUCAGGGCUAUUCACACACUCCUGCCACCACACCUUCUUAAAUUCAGCACCCUAGCCGCCUUGCCUGCCUCACUGUGGCCCCUGCCCUGCCCUGCAGAUCUUCUCAGUGUCUGAGUGGUCUCCCUAGGGCCACCUGGGCUCUGGGCUCUCACCCAUCUGCCCUACCUAGCAUCUGAGCUUUCUGCCGCUGCAGCCCCAGCCCGUUGGCCUUCCUGCCCGGGAAGAAGAUAAUGCAAUUGGGCGCUGGUUCCAGGCCGUCUGUCUCCAGAGCACUAGCAAGCCCUGCACGCUCAGCAGCCACGAGAAGGAGGGCCUUCCCACUACCUCACUUGCUGCUGCCCUCGACCAAGGACCCCUGGGACACUCACUCCUAUGGAAGGGGGACUCCACCUCCCCCAGCCAAGGGAAAGGAUCCUGCUCCCCAAAUGUCCAGAGGAAACUUCUGCUCCCCUGCCCAGGGGCCAGCCCCAAGCUUUGAUGACUCAGGGAGAUUCCAGAGUGAGGGGAAGCAGGCCCCUGGCUGAUGCACCUGCCGCAUGAGCCCCUCUCUGUGGCUCUCCCCUGAUAUCCUGGCAUUGCCGCCACCCUCACCACCAGCACCUUCACAUCUGCUAACAGUUGGUGAGCACUAACUCCACGCCAGGUGCCAUGCCCAGAGUUUCACCUGCACGGUCUCAUUUAAUCCUCAUGCUCACGCUCCCCAGGAGUCACUGUUGUUACUUCAUUUUUAAGAUGAGGAAACAGAUGCUCUGAGAAAUGAAGGGACUUGUCUAAGCUUCGAAGCAGCAGAGUUGGGAUCUGAGUCCAGGUCUGCUGGCUCCAAAGCCUGUGAUCAUAAUUACCAUGGCGUAUUGCCUUUUCCUUUAAUUCCAGGGAAAGGAGUCGCGUCUCUCUGUCCUUCACUCCUGAAACUGGGGCAACACGGGAAAGGCUGAGUCCAGAGAUGACAACACCUGGCCUUUUGAAUGAGGCCAGACAGAUGGCUCUGUGACAGUACAGCCCACAGAUAUUAGAGUCAAAGGGGAGUGAGUGGAGCAUCCUGAAGGCUCAGCUGGGCACAGCUGGGCCAGGCCCCCGUAAGCCAGGGCAGAAGCUGGUGUGCUUAGAAGAGGCCAUUCUAUCCAGCACAAAUGGGUGGCAGGGUUGUUUGGUGGGGUCACACGCCCAGGGGCUAUGACUAGGACCACUCAUGGGCGCUUGCUCCUGGUUCCUUCCAAGCCCCUUGGAUGCAGACUGCCUGCUGGCUGAGUGGGCCACACUGGGAUCCUGGAGGUGCUGGGGGGCUGCCCUUCUGACCUUCCUCUGGUCCCUUGCUGUGCAGAGAUGACCUGGAUCAGCUCAGUCAACAGCUACUGGACUAUAUGCGUGAUCCUCCAUAUUUUGUCACGGCGUACUUGAUGGUCUCAACCCUGUCACUUCACCUUGUUCUUAUGAGCUCUGGUCCCCCUGACCAGCCUGGCCCAGCACCACCACGUUGGGCAGCAAAAAGCAUGAUGGCUUGGAAUCCACCAAGCCCCACAGUGAGCAUUUGGGCAAGUCCCUGGACCCCUCAAGCCUCAGUUCCUCAUCUGCAAAGUAGAGAGGAUAAUCCUCUCUUGCAGGGGAGCAGUGAGGACUAGGUGAGAGAAUGGGUGCCUGGCACAUGGCAGGUGGCACGGAAACGAGCCUCCCCUGCCGUCACGCCAGUUUAUGGCGGUCUGGAGCCUCUAUGUCCCCAGCUUUGCAACGGGAGACUCAGGGUGAUUGCUAAUGGGUGCGCUGGUCUCCCUCUUGGCUGAUACCGCGUCCGUUUGCUCAGCAGGCACGUUUACUGAUCACCAUGUUGAAGGAGCCCUCUCAGUGUUUGGUAACCAGCGCUCUUGUUUGGGGCCACCCAGGUCCCACUGUCGUGUCAUGAAUCAUUUUGCUAAAGAUACAGCGUGACUUUGGGGCAUUCUUCUUUUAAAAAAUCAAUAACUCAUUAACAAGGGACUAAACAAAUAAAGGGCAAGCAAUGACAGCCAUCUGCCAGGACCGUGCCAAGGCAGAGUAGGGGGUCCACUCAGGGUGGAGAGGCCUGGGGGGCAGUAGGCUCAACCAGUUCCCUCACCCCAGCUCUUACAACCCACAAAUCUGACCAAGUCCCUCCCCUGCCUCAUACAACUGCUCUCAGGAGAGAUCCUCUCUCAGGAGACCCCUGCAGGCCUCACGGUCUGCUCACCCCAGCCCCUCCAGCCUCACUGCGGCUGGUCCCUGCCUCACACCUGCAUUCCAGCCACACAGCAUGCCUACAGCCCCCUGUAUGGGCUCUGGUCUCUCCAGCCUUCUGGCCUUUACAUGUGCUGCUCCAUCUACCUGGACUGUGCUUCUCCCUCUGCCAGCCUAAAUAACUCAUGGUGCUUCUUCAAGACACAAAUGGAAUAAGCUCCAGCAAAUUUCCCCUGACACCUUCCCCUACUGUCUCCACCCCCACCCAGGGGCAUCGCAUCCACAGCCCUGGAUCUCCCCUUGCCCUGGCUCACGACCCACUAUUGACUUCUCUGAGGCCAAGGACUGUACCUGGUGAUCCCGUCCCCAGGGCCCAAGCUGUUACCUGGCACAGAGUUGGCACCAGCCGGGUGCUCACUGAAUGAGUGAGGGAUGACAUUAGCAUCUGAUGCCUUCCUCCUCCCUGUUAGUUCCCUAGACACCCUACUUUGGCCUGGGACAGUGAUGCUGGCUGCCCAAAUAACCCUCUCUCCUCCUGAGUCCAAGCCCUCAGGGGCCCUCUCCCUCUACUAGGACAUGGAUAGUUGGUGUGUGAACCUCAUAAUAAAAGCUAACAACCAGCACUUGUGAUGUGCCAGGCACUAUUCCACGCAUUUUCCACGUUGGUUAACCCAGUCCUCACAACUGCAUUGGAGGGCGGGUCUACUGUAGUCCCCAUCUUACAGAUGGGAAAACAGAGGCAGAACCAGGAGCAGAAGAGCCAAGCUUUAGACCCAGGCCAUCUGACUGCAGAGCCUGCGUUUGCAACCACAGCCCUCUCCCUUACUGAGGUGGGUUGUCGGGAGUCCGGAGUAGAGGAGACAGCCCAGAGACCCCACUGCCCGACAAGGCCUCAGGCGCUCUGCAGCUCUGCAGCGAGGAUGAGCCUGCAGGUCCCAGGAGCUCCAGUUACAGGAAACUGCUUAUUCUGGCCUAGUCGCCUGGGAUCCCAAUUCCCUCAUCUCAGAUUCCCUGCUCAGCGCCAGCCCCCGGCCCACGCCAGCCUCUGGCCCUAAUCUCAUUUGAAGCCAUGAAAUCGCAUUUGCAGCGUAUUAAUGCAGCGCAGAGCUGGCCCAGCCCACCUGUCUCCUGGAGGACAGAGGCCCGGAGAACAAGCUUGAGGGAGGCGCCUCUGACACCGGCUGGAACACCCGCAAACAGCAAUUAGGCUUGAAGAGGAAGAUUAAAAUAACACCCCCGCAAGGGCCUCUGCUCUACUGGCCCCCACCAUCACCCAACAGUGGUUCAAGGGCAGGCUUCUCACACUGGCCACCCUUACCUCCCCGCCGCCCACCUGCCCUGGGCCCAAAAGAAACCACAGCUUUCAAGCAUCCCGGCCUUUGCUAAGCUGCUCCGUUCCCCUGAGUGCAGCGCCCCGCCCGCCCGCAUGUCUGGCCAGCUGCCAUUCACCUGGCAUCACAGCUGAUGUUUCGUUAGCUUUUAGUACACAUUCUUUAAAUUGCCGACAUAUUCAAUUCAACAAUCCUGUCAGGGAAGUACUGUCCUCAUCCUCAUCUUACAGAUGAACACAGAGGCCACGUCCCAGAGCUGGAAGGUGGCAGAAUCCAUGGUGCCUCCAGGUCUAUCUGUAUUCUGGAAGUCUUUGCGAUCCUCUCUCCUCCUGCAUGCAGUCAGGCUAGCAUAUUAUUUAAUCCUCACAACCACGCAGCAGAGUAAGCAUCAUUAUCCCCAUUUUACAGAGGAGAAAACAGAGGGUCAGAGAAGUGAAAUGACUUGAUCAGGAUCACCUAGUAUGGGGCAGAGCAGACAUCUGAAUUCAUGCCUGAGUCGAACGUCCAUGUUUAUCUACUCCUUUCACUGCUCAGGGUGGGUAUGGGCUUACUUCUGUGCUGGGGCUAUUUAUGCAACUCUUUUUUUUUUUUUUUUGGUGAGGAAAAUUGUCCCUGAGCUAACAUCUGUGCCAAUCUUCCUCUAUCUUGUAUGUGAGAUGCCACCACAGCAUGA